This 467-nucleotide ribosomal RNA is filed under the name uncultured bacterium. Its description in RNAcentral is "partial 16S ribosomal RNA". It matches the Rfam family "Bacterial small subunit ribosomal RNA", at positions 28 to 506 of the family's 1533-position model. The record is from RNAcentral.
GACGAACGCUGGCGGCGUGCUUAACACAUGCAAGUCGAACGGAAAGGCCCUGCUUUUGUGGGGUGCUCGAGUGGCGAACGGGUGAGUAACACGUGAGUAACCUGCCCUUGACUUUGGGAUAACUUCAGGAAACUGGGGCUAAUACCGGAUAGGAGCUCCUGCCGCAUGGUGGGGGUUGGAAAGUUUCGGCGGUUGGGGAUGGACUCGCGGCUUAUCAGCUUGUUGGUGGGGUAGUGGCUUACCAAGGCUUUGACGGGUAGCCGGCCUGAGAGGGUGACCGGCCACAUUGGGACUGAGAUACGGCCCAGACUCCUACGGGAGGCAACAGUGGGGAAUAUUGCACAAUGGGCGGAAGCCUGAUGCAGCAACGCCGCGUGCGGGAUGACGGCCUUCGGGUUGCAAACCGCUUUCGCCUGUGACGAAGCGUGAGUGACGGUAAUGGGUAAAGAAGCACCGGCUAACUACGU